UACGGGGGGAGCAAGCGUUGUUCGGAUUUACUGGGCGUAAAGAGCGCGCAGGCGGCUGGUCAAGUCCGAUGUGAAAUCUCCCGGCUCAACUGGGAAACUGCAUCGGAAACUGAUCGGCUUGAAGAUGGGAGAGGGUAGUGGAAUUCCCGGUGUAGUGGUGAAAUGCGUAGAUAUCGGGAGGAACACCAGUGGCGAAGGCGACUACCUGGCCCAUUCUUGACGCUGAGGCGCGAAAGCUAGGGGAGCGAACGGG
RNAcentral lists this ribosomal RNA (253 nucleotides) under uncultured bacterium. RNAcentral describes it as "partial 16S ribosomal RNA". It matches the Rfam family "Bacterial small subunit ribosomal RNA", at positions 524 to 776 of the family's 1533-position model. The record is from RNAcentral.